This is a long non-coding RNA of Camponotus floridanus (Florida carpenter ant), 380 nucleotides long. RefSeq lists it as uncharacterized. The transcript is spliced from 3 exons. Lineage: Eukaryota; Metazoa; Arthropoda; Insecta; Hymenoptera; Formicidae. The record is from RefSeq and is a predicted model, not a curated record.
GAGCAGCGGUGCCUGCAUUCAUCCAUUGAUCCCGUCAUCCGGUACCUUUCUACGCAUCAUCAUGGUUAACCCCCGCCGAACUUCUUCCGUUGGACGCGAAAUUUCCCUCCGUGCCGCGGGUAUACGCCGCAGGCGUGCCUCCCGGUCGGUACUUAGGCUCCCUACAGCUCGUCAGUUGUUUGCCGACGAGAACGACUUAACAAGCAGAGUAACAAGGUACUCUCCAGUGCGUAGUUUCGCGCCCUCCCGCGCAUACCCUUAUCGUCCUCCCCGAAACCCUCCAGCGGUUCUUCAAGAGGAACAACAGCCCAGAGCCAGGCCGCCAUCGCCCAAUUACUCCCCCAUCCAGGAUUCAUCUAAUCCCAGCUACUCGCCGGUCA